Non-coding RNA from Pelobates cultripes (western spadefoot toad), 327 nucleotides. The record is from the annotation of a GenBank genome assembly. Lineage: Eukaryota; Metazoa; Chordata; Amphibia; Anura; Pelobatidae.
UAUAGUUCCAGUUUUACUAUUUUAGACUUCAAUUUGAAUUUCACGUUGAAUGCUUCAAUGCCUUAGUGAAUAACUCUGACAGAUGUUAAGAUAAAUAUUAGUUGAAGUGUGUUUUGGCAGCAAAGUUUCACAAUCUGUACAGAAAGCCAGGAGUGUGUUGUCCAAAAAAGGAAGGGUAGGUAGAAUAUGGGAACAGAGAUGUCUGAAGGAAAAUAUUCCGCAAUGAGUUUUUAAACACAGGGGUACCGGAAAACCGAAGAUCACCAUGGUGUGACCUUUCUUGGGUCUACUGCAGGUGGAAUCAUCCAUUACAAGAUUCUGAAUGGG